GCACUGGAGAUGGGAAAUGAAGUGAACUCUAACCCUACACUUAUUGGGGAUCGAUGCUGCAGCGAUCAUUUCACCAUCAACUCCAGUACUCCACCGGAAUGAGAAGUGUAAGCUGUUUGUCCUUCUGGCCUUCUGCUGCUCACCUGUCAAGUGCCAGCUGUAACCAGGCCAAGAGUCCGGGGGAGAGAAGGAACCGGAUAAGCAGAAGGGCUCUGCUCAUCACUGCCUAGAAUAUUCCUUGCCUUUUUGGAAUUGAUCAGAUGUGGCAUUCAAAAGGUAUCGCAUGACAGACAGACAGAGAAAUGCCUUCAAGUUGAGUGGAGGUCCAUGCAAGCUUGGCCGAAAACAUAAAAUUAAACCAUCAGCUAAUCAAGUUGAUUGUGAAGUUGACAAGAGAUCAAAAAGUCUGCAGGAAGGAACACACACAGCAGGAGGGUGUCCUGUUUGUGACUAAGAUCAAAGAAUUAGUCUGGUAUAGCAGGAGAAUGCACGGAGACAUAUGUUAUCCUUCACUGAGGAGAGAACUGAGUGUGGCUUGUUUCAUGAAUAAAGGGAACACAGUUUACCUGGCUCAGAAAUGCU
Molecule: long non-coding RNA, 582 nt
Organism: Mauremys mutica (yellowpond turtle)
Lineage: Eukaryota; Metazoa; Chordata; Testudines; Geoemydidae
Exons: 4
Source: RefSeq, a predicted model, not a curated record